GACGAACGCUGGCGGCGUGCUUAACACAUGCAAGUCGAACGGAAAGGCCCUGCUUUUGUGGGGUGCUCGAGUGGCGAACGGGUGAGUAACACGUGAGUAACCUGCCCUUGACUUUGGGAUAACUUCAGGAAACUGGGGCUAAUACCGGAUAGGAGCUCCUGCUGCAUGGUGGGGGUUGGAAAGUUUCGGCGGUUGGGGAUGGACUCGCGGCUUAUCAGCUUGUUGGUGGGGUAGUGGCUUACCAAGGCUUUGACGGGUAGCCGGCCUGAGAGGGUGACCGGCCAAAUUGGGACUGAGAUACGGCCCAGACUCCUACGGGAGGCAGCAGUGGGGAAUAUUGCACAAUGGGCGGAAGCCUGAUGCAGUAACGCCGCGUGCGGGAUGACGGCCUUCGGGUUGUAAACCGCUUUCGCCUGUGACGAAGCGUGAGUGACGGUAAUGGGUAAAGAAGCACCGGCUAACUACGUG
Molecule: ribosomal RNA, 468 nt
Filed under: uncultured bacterium
Lineage: Bacteria
Description: partial 16S ribosomal RNA
Rfam family: Bacterial small subunit ribosomal RNA
Source: RNAcentral